RNAcentral lists this ribosomal RNA (253 nucleotides) under uncultured bacterium. RNAcentral's name for it is "partial 16S ribosomal RNA". It matches the Rfam family "Bacterial small subunit ribosomal RNA", at positions 524 to 776 of the family's 1533-position model. The record is from RNAcentral.
UACGUAGGCUCCAAGCGUUGUUCGGAAUUACUGGGCGUAAAGCGAGUGUAGGCGGUCCGUCAAGUCGGUUGUGAAAUCUCCUGGCUCAACUGGGAGGGUGCGACCGAAACUGACGGACUGGAGUCCGGGAGAGGAGAGUGGAAUUCCUGGUGUAGCGGUGAAAUGCGUAGAUAUCAGGAGGAACACCGGUGGUGAAGACGGCUCUCUGGACCGGUACUGACGAUGAGACUCGAAAGCGUGGGGAGCAAACAGG